Molecule: ribosomal RNA, 497 nt
Filed under: uncultured bacterium
Lineage: Bacteria
Description: partial 16S ribosomal RNA
Rfam family: Bacterial small subunit ribosomal RNA
Source: RNAcentral
GGGGGGGGGGGGGGGGGGGGGGGGGGCGGGGGGGGCGGGGGGGCGGGCGAGGAGCGGGCGGCGCGGGUGGUAGCGGCGGGGGGGGGAGGAACACGUGGAUAACCUACCUAUAAGCCUGGGGUACCUUCGGGAAACCGGAGCUAAUACCGGGUAAUAUUUUGAACCGCAUGGUUCAAAAGUGAAAGACGGGCUUGCUGUCACUUAUAGAUGGAUCCGCGCUGCAUUAGCUAGUUGGUAAGGUAACGGCUUACCAAGGCAACGAUGCAUAGCCGACCUGAGAGGGUGAUCGGCCACACUGGAACUGAGACACGGUCCAGACUCCUACGGGAGGCAGCAGUAGGGAAUCUUCCGCAAUGGGCGAAAGCCUGACGGAGCAACGCCGCGUGAGUGAUGAAGGUCUUCGGAUCGUAAAACUCUGUUAUUAGGGAAGAACAUAUGUGUAAGUAACUGUGCACAUCUUGACGGUACCUAAUCAGAAAGCCACGGCUAACUACGUG